This 75-nucleotide transfer RNA is filed under the name Podarcis lilfordi (Lilford's wall lizard). RNAcentral describes it as "tRNA.Ala". It matches the Rfam family "tRNA". Rfam says of the family: Transfer RNA (tRNA) molecules are approximately 80 nucleotides in length. Their secondary structure includes four short double-helical elements and three loops (D, anti-codon, and T loops). Lineage: Eukaryota; Metazoa; Chordata; Lepidosauria; Squamata; Lacertidae. The record is from RNAcentral.
GGAGUGACUGUAGCUCAGUGGCAGAGCAUCUGCCUUGCAUGUAGAAGGUCCCAGGUUCAAUCCCUGGCAUCUCCA